GAGUUUGAUCAUGGCUCAGGAUAACGCUGGCGGCGUGCCUAACACAUGCAAGUCGAACGAUCCCGCAAGGGAGAGUGGCGGAAGGGUGAGUAACACGUGGGAAUCUACCUCCUCGCAGGGAACAACCUCUCGAAAGAGAGGCUAAUACCCAAAAGGGUCAGAAAUGAUCAGAGUCGAAAGGCGUGAGGAGAGGAGCCCGCGGCCCAUCAGCUAGUUGGUGAGGUAAUGGCUUACCAAGGCUACGACGGGUAGGGGAUCUGAGAGGAUGUCCCCCACACUGGAACUGAAACACGGUCCAGACGCCUACGGGUGGCAGCAGUGAGGAAUAUUGGACAAUGGGCGAAAGCCCGAUCCAGCAACGCCGCGUGGAGGAUGAAGGCCUUCGGGUCGUAAACUUCUUUAGAGGGAGACGAGAAAGGACGGUAUCCCUAGAAUAAGCGACGGCAAACUACGUG
RNAcentral lists this ribosomal RNA (455 nucleotides) under uncultured bacterium. RNAcentral describes it as "bacterial SSU rRNA". It matches the Rfam family "Bacterial small subunit ribosomal RNA", at positions 9 to 507 of the family's 1533-position model. The record is from RNAcentral.